Molecule: ribosomal RNA, 121 nt
Filed under: uncultured bacterium
Lineage: Bacteria
Description: partial 16S ribosomal RNA
Rfam family: Bacterial small subunit ribosomal RNA
Source: RNAcentral
ACGGGGGGAACCCUGAUGCAGCGACGCCGCGUGGGUGAAGAAGCGCCUCGGCGCGUAAAGCCCUGUCAGCAGGGAAGAAAAUGACGGUACCUGAAGAAGAAGCCCCGGCUAACUACGUGCC